AGUCGUUUUACAGAUUCCCUAAAAACAAACAAGUAUGCACUCAGUGGAUUGUUAAAAGCAGAAGGUCCGACUUAGACAAUAUUUUAAGAACAAAAGGGCCAGAAUAUUUAAAUAGAAACUACGUCAUGUGUUCUGACCAUUUUACGAAAAAAGAUGGGGAAUUUUCACAUAGGGAAAUG
Centruroides sculpturatus (bark scorpion) is the source of this 179-nucleotide long non-coding RNA. RefSeq lists it as uncharacterized. The transcript has 2 exons. The record is from RefSeq and is a predicted model, not a curated record. Lineage: Eukaryota; Metazoa; Arthropoda; Arachnida; Scorpiones; Buthidae.